GUAAUUAAAAGUCUUGUAAAAGUUCAGAAGUGGCAUUUUUACCACGUGCUAAGAAGAUGAAGCGUUUCCGGCGUCAUUAUUCUGGUAAUAAUACAAAAUCCAA
Aricia agestis (brown argus) is the source of this 103-nucleotide long non-coding RNA. RefSeq lists it as uncharacterized. The record is from RefSeq and is a predicted model, not a curated record. The transcript has 3 exons. Lineage: Eukaryota; Metazoa; Arthropoda; Insecta; Lepidoptera; Lycaenidae.